GCGGGGGCGUGGGUGCCCUGCCCUCCAAACCACCCACGGCCCAAUCCAAUCGCUUGCACGCCGCAACCCUUCCUCCCUCCUCGAUCUCUCUCCCUCAGCCACCACGAACCCUAGCCCCCUUUCCUACCAUCCUGUGGUCGCUGCCCUCUGCUCCAUCUGACCUCCCUCAUCAACCGCCGCCUCUGUGGCUCCUCCGUCCGUCGACUCUGUCUCCCCAAUUCAUCCUCCGUCCCUUUCUGCUCGAGGUGCUCAUCGGCUCAGGUCGUGAGGAAGCCGCGUGACGAGGAGCCCAGGUCGUGAAGCCGCGUGAGGAGGAGAGACCUUGCCCGAGAAGCUGUGGGAGGAGGGCCUCAACCAGAGAGGAGCGGCUGCCAGCCAUGUAGUCGGCUCGGCUCGAUGCCGGACGCGGCAGACCCUAGCGCCAUCCUUCAGGAGUCUUCACGACCUCCAGGUGCGCAUCUUUCAGGAUUUAAUAAUGAGUUAUCUUGGCUUCAUUGGACAAAUGAUCUACCUGGAGCAAUGAUACAGGUUCUACUGCAACAGUACAACAUACAAAGUGAUGGAGGAGAGGUGUUCAGAGAAAGUUUUAUACAUGUGCCAGGUUCUGAAGCAUGAGGAUCCGGUGCGACAGGAAGCAACUCUGCAUACGGUUCCUGUAGAUGAACUUAAGGAGAAGGCGCUUAUUUCACUGGCCAAGGAAACAUGUAAAAAAGGUGGGAUCUUUCCGUCGGCUUUCGCAGCUGGCUAUAUGCAUCAUAGAGCAUCUAAUCUGCAUCAACUUUAGACAUGGAGAGUUCUACUCCAAUUUCUUUGUGUUGUCGGCCUUGGUGAUUGUUCUGGAGCUCUAAUUGGCUGAUGGACUUUUAAAUGUUUCCCUGCAAUUUUCAUUGCUUUGCCUGCAAGUGUUUUGUCUGUGAGCUUGCUUGUAUACUAAAUGUUAUCUAGGCUCAUGUGUAUAAAAUAAGGGUAUCGAUAUGCAAAUAAAUCUUGACACAGUGGAUUUGGUUCUUUUACAUUUCUGAAGUACCUUGUGCAAAUAAUGAAUCAUCAUCUCCCGUGUUUUUCUCUUGAAAAUGGAGGUGUCAUGGUUUUCUUUUUGUACCUCUUGCAGUUGGAUGGUUUGAUGAUUAGAACAUAAUGAAUUAUGGUUGUUCUUAUAAACUCUCUUUAAUGUGACCUCUAUGGAACUUUGGAUGAUCAUCGAGGGCAAUCUUGGAUAGUUUCAGGAGAAAUAAUCAGUGUGGGAUUGAGCCAUAGCUUUUGGAGGGUUGAUGGUUUAUGAAGUACUCCCUCCGUCCCAAAAUAAGUGUCUCAACUUUAGUACAACUUAUUUUGGGACGGAGGGAGUAUUAUAUGAUAGAUAGUGAUGGUAAAAUAAACAUAUUUAUAACAAAGCCUUCUAUUGGAAAGCAAUUGAAUUCAUGACAAUUCAGAAGUAAGAAUUUAACAUUUUCUUGAUUGUCUGAUUUCAUAGCCUUCAUGUUCCUGGAUAUCAUUUUUGUUAACUCUCUGCUGAUGGCACCUUGAAGCUUGAGUAUUUUCAUACCUUGAUGAAUACAUUGCUCUACAUAAUUGGUUGAUUAAAGAGGUUAACUCUUUUUUGUAGCAGUUUUUCAAUUGAUCUGAUGCGAUGACCAAAACAUGUUUACUUAAACUUGGUAUAUUAGCUCAAGCACCUGAUCAGUAAAAUGGAGUUCUAUUGGUUCUAGCUAUUGUUCCAAAUCAUUCAGAAAGAAAAACUGAUAUGCUAAAUAAACUGUCUGCUUUACUAACUUUAUUUUUUAGUCUUGCUUCCAUUCAUGUAUUUAUAGUACCGUGGGUAUCUACAACAACGAUAGUACAAAUGAUUUGUAGAAGAACACAUGUUCACUAUAAAUAAAUAAAUAUGGCAUGAAUUUAAUUGGUGUUAACUUGAACUUAGGUGGUGAGAUUGUGCGUCCACUCCCACCCAAGUGAGCUAGGUGUAAUUUUGACUUUAUUCCAGUCUCAUGAAACACAUCAUGGGUGUAUAUGAACAUUAUCUCAAAAUACUCAAGCUUGGCAACAAAAACUUAAUUGUGUGCGUGAAAAUUUUUACUUUCUGUUUGUCGAAUUGAGAAGUUCUUGCCGGUUAUCUGUGAUCUUUGGCGUGGUGCUGCAACCAUUUUAACAGACUGAAACUAUUGCCUUAUUUUUUAUUCUACAUUUCCCUUAAAGAUUUCUGGUGGAGCCGCAUUCGUGCAUUAGUGAAAAAAUUAGAGGUUUAUUCUAUUGGACAUCGUCAGAAUGGUCAAGCAUGUUUUACUAUAAUUUUGCAGGGUUCCUGCUCCUUCUAUGUAUUUUUGAUUUAUUUGUGUUGACUGUGCUCAAUGGUGCUUGCAGAUCCAUGGACAUCGUCAAAAUGGUCACUUUCUUGCAGUAUAUUAUUUUCAGAUCUCAUGUUUCUCAAGGUGACAAAAGAGAGAUGGCAAAACUAUUGUAGCACAACCAUACAGAAAGCUUUGGCUCCUUGCUUUUCUUAAGUAGUUUUAUAAGGGCAUCGAACCAUUUGGUGCUACAGUUAUUGUAUAGUAAACCGGCAUAAUAUGAGAGAUUAACAGUCAGAUUUUACAUGUUUAGUAAAGUAGGCAACUGGCACAUGUUUGUAUAGCAAUUCUGAACCCCUCAUAUUGAAUGAUUCAUCUACAGAAGCACUCAGUUUGUCUACAAUUUUUUGUACGAGUUUAGAUUACUCUGAGAACAGCCGGUACCAUACCAUCACGGCUGCUUGCAAAAUUAGUAAGAGGCUAAAUUUCUGAGUUGUCUUAGUUAUGUAGCACACGAAUUGAGUGUGACUUAGGAAUUAAUAUGCGAGUUGGCUUAGUUAUGAAAUCAAAAAGUACCUCUGUAGAUGCAGGUAAUUGAGCAGUGGAUGGGUGACGGGGAUAGGUUUCAUAAAACCGAUUAUUAUGAACUUGUUCAUUGUAUCAUAUAAACAUUACACCACCAGAAUUCAGUAGCGUGUUAACAUUCAGCUGACUGCUCCCAUUUUUAGCUCGUUUUGUAGGUAUGCUUUAGGAAAAUUUUGGUCUGCGAAGAUACUGUUUCAGCAAAGGGCAAAGGGAAAAUCAUCAAGUUCGAUGAUCCAGUUUUUGUUCCAUAGGAUUCCAUUUUUCAAAUGAAUCUCCUACCUGAAAAAGGGCAUGGUAGUGGAUAUUGUAUCUGUUUUAUGUGCAUCAGAAGAGACUACUGGCUGGUUGAUUUUGUGCACAUAUUCUGUAAAUUCAACUUACCAAUAAAGCUUUGACAGAACAAGAUUCUUGAUGUUGCUUAUGGUGCCUCUUUGGGCUUCUUCUUCAAUGGUCCCACGCCGGCCCAAAUAAUAGAUGUCUUGCUUAUUUAUUGGUCAUAUUGCCAGCACAUUCCAAGCGGAAUGGAGUGCCCAGUUUUGUCCAGAAAGCUGAGGCCUUCUGGUGGUUUAGCAUGAUAUUUCCUUAGUUGUCUUUUUGACUAGAAGAAGGAAGUGUUGCUUGACUGGAAUGAGAUCACAAAGGAAUCUGAGACGAGCUUUGCUACAUAAAGUAGUCUGAUGUGAUCUCCAUAUUCAUACAUAAUAUAUCGAUGUUAUGUGCACAUUGGAAGUUGUCGAAUAUCUCCUGAUCAUACGUUUCUUGCAUAUACUCUCGAUACAUCUGGGGGAAACUGUUUUCGCUGGAACUGAAAGAUCUUCAGUCUAGGUUAUGUUUCUAAAGCUCCAUGCUUAAUCAUCCAGACUGUUUCCAAGUGACUGCUUUACACAUGGGAGACUGGAUGCCUGGAGGAGUUCAGAGAAGCUGGUGUUAUGUUACAUAUGGUCUUCAAGCUAAUGUUAUGUUUCUUGCAUGGUUUGUAUAUUUGUUGCAAAAACAUAGUACAAGAAAAAGAUCUAUGCUCAUGAAGAUGGCAGAAGGGAACUACAUGUGGAACAAGAACCACCAGCGCUGACCAGUUGGGCAUCUAGAUAGUGGUAGUGAACAAAAAUUGCUUGCCCUAUAGAGUCAAUGUAUUCUACUACUAUCCCACUCGCUGAUUUUUAUGUUAUGAAAUUAUAGUUCAACCAUAGUAUGUAUUUACACUCCUGCUGUGAGAUUGUACUAUGUAAAUUAUGGGAGGACAAUAUAGGCCUUUAUAUGCAAAAAACUCCUUGUUGAAA
Long non-coding RNA from Triticum aestivum (bread wheat), 4150 nucleotides. RefSeq lists it as uncharacterized. The transcript has 10 exons. The record is from RefSeq and is a predicted model, not a curated record. Lineage: Eukaryota; Viridiplantae; Streptophyta; Magnoliopsida; Poales; Poaceae.